Molecule: ribosomal RNA, 1431 nt
Filed under: Lactiplantibacillus plantarum
Lineage: Bacteria; Bacillati; Bacillota; Bacilli; Lactobacillales; Lactobacillaceae
Description: bacterial SSU rRNA
Rfam family: Bacterial small subunit ribosomal RNA
Source: RNAcentral
UCGACGAACUCUGGUAUUGAUUGGUGCUUGCAUCAUGAUUUACAUUUGAGUGAGUGGCGAACUGGUGAGUAACACGUGGGAAACCUGCCCAGAAGCGGGGGAUAACACCUGGAAACAGAUGCUAAUACCGCAUAACAACUUGGACCGCAUGGUCCGAGCUUGAAAGAUGGCUUCGGCUAUCACUUUUGGAUGGUCCCGCGGCGUAUUAGCUAGAUGGUGAGGUAACGGCUCACCAUGGCAAUGAUACGUAGCCGACCUGAGAGGGUAAUCGGCCACAUUGGGACUGAGACACGGCCCAAACUCAUACGGGAGGCAGCAGUAGGGAAUCUUCCACAAUGGACGAAAGUCUGAUGGAGCAACGCCGCGUGAGUGAAGAAGGGUUUCGGCUCGUAAAACUCUGUUGUUAAAGAAGAACAUAUCUGAGAGUAACUGUUCAGGUAUUGACGGUAUUUAACCAGAAAGCCACGGCUAACUACGUGCCAGCAGCCGCGGUAAUACGUAGGUGGCAAGCGUUGUCCGGAUUUAUUGGGCGUAAAGCGAGCGCAGGCGGUUUUUUAAGUCUGAUGUGAAAGCCUUCGGCUCAACCGAAGAAGUGCAUCGGAAACUGGGAAACUUGAGUGCAGAAGAGGACAGUGGAACUCCAUGUGUAGCGGUGAAAUGCGUAGAUAUAUGGAAGAACACCAGUGGCGAAGGCGGCUGUCUGGUCUGUAACUGACGCUGAGGCUCGAAAGUAUGGGUAGCAAACAGGAUUAGAUACCCUGGUAGUCCAUACCGUAAACGAUGAAUGCUAAGUGUUGGAGGGUUUCCGCCCUUCAGUGCUGCAGCUAACGCAUUAAGCAUUCCGCCUGGGGAGUACGGCCGCAAGGCUGAAACUCAAAGGAAUUGACGGGGGCCCGCACAAGCGGUGGAGCAUGUGGUUUAAUUCGAAGCUACGCGAAGAACCUUACCAGGUCUUGACAUACUAUGCAAAUCUAAGAGAUUAGACGUUCCCUUCGGGGACAUGGAUACAGGUGGUGCAUGGUUGUCGUCAGCUCGUGUCGUGAGAUGUUGGGUUAAGUCCCGCAACGAGCGCAACCCUUAUUAUCAGUUGCCAGCAUUAAGUUGGGCACUCUGGUGAGACUGCCGGUGACAAACCGGAGGAAGGUGGGGAUGACGUCAAAUCAUCAUGCCCCUUAUGACCUGGGCUACACACGUGCUACAAUGGAUGGUACAACGAGUUGCGAACUCGCGAGAGUAAGCUAAUCUCUUAAAGCCAUUCUCAGUUCGGAUUGUAGGCUGCAACUCGCCUACAUGAAGUCGGAAUCGCUAGUAAUCGCGGAUCAGCAUGCCGCGGUGAAUACGUUCCCGGGCCUUGUACACACCGCCCGUCACACCAUGAGAGUUUGUAACACCCAAAGUCGGUGGGGUAACCUUUUAGGAACCAGCCGCCUA